RNAcentral lists this ribosomal RNA (233 nucleotides) under uncultured bacterium. RNAcentral describes it as "partial 16S ribosomal RNA". It matches the Rfam family "Bacterial small subunit ribosomal RNA", at positions 100 to 334 of the family's 1533-position model. The record is from RNAcentral.
CGGAACGGGUGAGUAACAUAUCGGAACGUACCGAGUAUGGGGGAGUAACUGGUCGAAAGAUCAGCUAAUACCGCAUACGUCUUGAGAGGGAAAGCAGGGGACCUUCGGGCCUUGCGCUAUUCGAGCAGCCGAUAUCUGAUUAGCUAGUUGGUGGGGUAAAGGCCUACCAAGGCGACGAUCAGUAGCGGGUCUGAGAGGAUGAUCCGCCACACUGGGACUGAGACACGGCCCAG